GUAUACCUACGGGGCGCAGCAGUAGGGAAUCUUCCACAAUGGGCGAAAGCCUGAUGGAGCAACGCCGCGUGGGUGAAGAAGGUCUUCGGAUCGUAAAACCCUGUUGUUAGAGAAGAAAGUGCGUGAGAGUAACUGUUCACGUUUCGACGGUAUCUAACCAGAAAGCCACGGCUAACUACGUGCCAGCAGCCGCGGUAAUACGUAGGUGGCAAGCGUUAUCCGGAUUUAUUGGGCGUAAAGGGACCGCAGGCGGUCUUUUAAUUCUGAUGUGAACGCCUUCGGCUUAACCGUAGUAGU
Molecule: ribosomal RNA, 297 nt
Filed under: uncultured bacterium
Lineage: Bacteria
Description: partial 16S ribosomal RNA
Rfam family: Bacterial small subunit ribosomal RNA
Source: RNAcentral